Molecule: ribosomal RNA, 484 nt
Filed under: uncultured bacterium
Lineage: Bacteria
Description: partial 16S ribosomal RNA
Rfam family: Bacterial small subunit ribosomal RNA
Source: RNAcentral
AUUGAACGCUGGCGGCAGGCCUAACACAUGCAAGUCGAGCGGAUGAAGGGAGCUUGCUCCUGGAUUCAGCGGCGGACGGGUGAGUAAUGCCUAGGAAUCUGCCUGGUAGUGGGGGAUAACGUCCGGAAACGGGCGCUAAUACCGCAUACGUCCUGAGGGAGAAAGUGGGGGAUCUUCGGACCUCACGCUAUCAGAUGGGCCUAGGUCGGAUUAGCUAGUUGGUGGGGUAAAGGCCUACCAAGGCGACGAUCCGUAAUUGGUCUGAGAGGAUGAUCAGUCACACUGGAACUGAGACACGGUCCAGACUCCUACGGGAGGCAGCAGUGGGGAAUAUUGGACAAUGGGCGAAAGCCUGAUCCAGCCAUGCCGCGUGUGUGAAGAAGGUCUUCGGAUUGGAAAGCACUUUAAGUUGGGAGGAAGGGCAGUAAGUUAAUACCUUGCUGUUUUGACGUUACCAACAGAAUAAGCACCGGCUAACUUCGUG